AUACUCUAGCAGGUGAUACUCAAUUUAGCUUAGAUCAAACAAAGUCUCAAGCAGCACUUAUAGCAAGAAAUACAUUGCAAGGCUCAAGGUUGUGUUGCUAGAGCUCUUCCCCUACACUGCUAAAUGAACUGUAAGGCAUCAGGAAGUAUUAUUUUGCUGAAGAGAAUUGAUCCCACAGUGUAUACUUACAAUGGCUGCAUUGUCUCACUGCUGCAAAUGCUGCUGACCUCUGAACAAGCCCAAAUGAUACAGAUGUCACAUCUGACAGCCAUGGUGAUGAAUGGUCUGGGUGUUGACAGCUGAAGAUGAGGGUCUCAGACAGAAGGAGAAACCUGUGAGACCGAUCAAGUCUCGUGAUGCUGACUUUGCAGUGGGAAUAGGCAAAAGAACAAAACACAGCUAAACACGUUUUCUGUGGCUUUCAAAU
This 427-nucleotide long non-coding RNA is filed under the name Anser brachyrhynchus (Pink-footed goose). RNAcentral describes it as "lncRNA (ENSABRG00000011298.1)". The record is from RNAcentral. Lineage: Eukaryota; Metazoa; Chordata; Aves; Anseriformes; Anatidae.